UAAUACUGGAUAUGAGCCGUCCUCGCAUGGGGGUGGUUGGAAAGUUUUUCGGUCAGGGAUGGGCUCGCGGCCUAUCAGCUUGUUGGUGGGGUGAUGGCCUACCAAGGCGACGACGGGUAGCCGGCCUGAGAGGGCGACCGGCCACACUGGGACUGAGACACGGCCCAGACUCCUACGGGAGGCAGCAGUGGGGAAUAUUGCACAAUGGGCGCAAGCCUGAUGCAGCGACGCCGCGUGAGGGAUGAAGGCCUUCGGGUUGUAAACCUCUUUCAGCAGGGAAGAAGCGCAAGUGACGGUACCUGCAGAAGAAGCGCCGGCUAACUACGUGCCAGCAGCCCGCGGUAAUACGUAGGGCGCAAGCGUUGUCCGGAAUUAUUGGGCGUAAAGAGCUCGUAGGCGGUUUGUCGCGUCUGGUGUGAAAACUCGAGGCUCAACCUCGAGCUUGCAUCGGGUACGGGCAGACUAGAGUGCGGUAGGGGAGACUGGAAUUCCUGGUGUAGCGGUGGAAUGCGCAGAUAUCAGGAGGAACACCGAUGGCGAAGGCAGGUCUCUGGGCCGCAACUGACGCUGAGGAGCGAAAGCAUGGGGAGCGAACAGGAUUAGAUACCCUGGUAGUCCAUGCCGUAAACGUUGGGCACUAGGUGUGGGGCUCAUUCCACGAGUUCCGUGCCGCAGCAAACGCAUUAAGUGCC
This 692-nucleotide ribosomal RNA is filed under the name Cellulosimicrobium sp. Its description in RNAcentral is "bacterial SSU rRNA". It matches the Rfam family "Bacterial small subunit ribosomal RNA", at positions 164 to 868 of the family's 1533-position model. Lineage: Bacteria; Bacillati; Actinomycetota; Actinomycetes; Micrococcales; Promicromonosporaceae. The record is from RNAcentral.